AUUGGGCGGCGUGAUCUCGCCGCGGUUCCGCGGCCCUGCCGCCGCCGCCGCCAGCAGAGCGCACCGGGCCGAUCGGGCGAGUGGCCAUGGCGGGCGCCGAGAACUGGCCGGGCCAGCAGCUGGAGCUGGACGAGGACGAGGCGUCUUGUUGCCGCUGGGGCGCGCAGCACGCCGGGGCCCGCGAGCUGGCUGCGCUCUACUCGCCAGUGCCCUUCACUCUCUGAAGAACAGCCAUGCCUGAAUCAGAGUCUGCAGACAGCCUGGUGCCCCAAAUCUGCAAUCAAGGCCCUUUAUCUCCUCCAGACCUGGAGGCAAGCGCCUCCAGGAGUGGUGCUCUGUGAUCCUGUGCUUCAGCCUCAUCGCCCACAACCUGGUCCAUCUCCUGCUGCUGGCCCGCUGGGAGGACACACCCCUCGUCAUACUCGGUGUUGUUGCAGGGGCUCUCAUUGCUGACUUCUUGUCUGGCCUGGUACACUGGGGUGCUGACACAUGGGGCUCUGUGGAGCUGCCCAUUGUGGGGAAGGCUUUCAUCCGACCCUUCCGGGAGCACCACAUUGACCCGACAGCUAUCACACGGCACGACUUCAUCGAGACCAACGGGGACAACUGCCUGGUGACACUGCUGCCGCUGCUAAACAUGGCCUACAAGUUCCGCACCCACAGCCCUGAAGCCCUGGAGCAGCUAUACCCCUGGGAGUGCUUCGUCUUCUGCCUGAUCAUCUUCGGCACCUUCACCAACCAGAUCCACAAGUGGUCGCACACGUACUUUGGGCUGCCACGCUGGGUCACCCUCCUGCAGGACUGGCAUGUCAUCCUGCCACGUAAACACCAUCGCAUCCACCACGUCUCACCCCACGAGACCUACUUCUGCAUCACCACAGGCUGGCUCAACUACCCUCUGGAGAAGAUAGGCUUCUGGCGACGCCUGGAGGACCUCAUCCAGGGCCUGACGGGCGAGAAGCCUCGGGCAGAUGACAUGAAAUGGGCCCAGAAGAUCAAAUAACUUCUCCGAGCCUGCUACCUGGUUGCCAACCUUCCCUAGCCCCCAAACCGAAGCCAUCUGCCAAAUUCCAGCCUCUUUGAGCUGGCCCCUCCAGAUGGAGAGGACAUCUCCUGGGCUGGGCCCAGGUACCCCAGCCCACCCCUCAUGACACAGAAUACUUGAGCCACUGAUUUUUCAUUUCUUUUUUUUUUUUUUCCUCGGCCCCUCCUCAGCCACCUGAGUUGCUCUAUCUGCAAGCCUGACUCUGCCAGCCUCCCCUGGUAGAGAGGAGGUUUACCCACUCCCUGCACGCCUGCCGUCCCUGCCCCGCUGGGCAGCCCUUCAGUGUGGCUGGCGUUGGGGCCAGUGAGUUGCCUCUUUCCCUCCUUGUCUGGCCCCAGUGGUCUGGGGAGCCCCCAGGCACACCUAAGCGUCGUGGAGCAUUGUUCUGCCACAGCCCUGCAUACUGACCCCGGGAGGCUGGGCAGGUGGACAGCCCCAGCCACCACCUUCAGCCUAGCCUGUCCCCCAAGGAUGGUGAAGCUCAGCAGGGGUCUGAGGGUAGCCGGCCAGAAGAGGCUGGAACCUCCUGCUCAAGUCUAGACCCCUACUUCUCUGCUGCCCCCACCCUGCCAGAGCUGAUGUUUCCAAUACCAAGAUGUCUUCACAGGGCACAGCCCCUGCAGAGCAUCUUGGUCAUUUGGAAGAGGACACGGUAUCCCCUCUGGCCAGAGUAUGUCAGAGAAGGAAGAGUAGGGCUUUUUUGUUUUGUUUUUUUUUAAAGGUGCUUGCUUGUUUAAUGUAAAUAAUAGAAAGCCUUAAUAUCUUUUCUGUAACACGGAGUAAUAUUUUAAUGUCAUGUUUUGGAUGUACAUAAUAUAUUUAUAACAAAGCAGCAAGAGUCUACUUAACCUUGGCUGCCUCGUGGUGUUUCCUGGCUGGGUGGGGUGGGGGGUAUCAAGGAGCCUGGGACGUGAGGCCCCACUCUCGCCCCAUUCCCAGCUCCCCCCAACCCUGGCCUCAGGAUGAGAGCUGUCACCUGAGACAGUGAAUUAAUGUUGACAUCUGCUCCAAAGCCUUUUGGAGGGGAUUGGGUGAGGACAGUGGUCUUUCCUGUUGAUCAUGAUGAUAAAGUAAUGAUGGCUGAUCCCUAUUUGUGACUUCCUUCAGCAAAUAUUCACUGGCACCUGGUGUGUGCCAGGCUCUGUCCUGUACACAGGUACAGCGGUGAAAGAACCAACAAAGACCUAUCCUGGUGGAGCUGACCUCCUGGGAAAAGAGUCAAUAAACAAAUAAAUGCACAUGGAAAUUCAGGUGGUGAUUUGUGAAGAAAAUCAAACAGGACAGAACCACAGCGGAAAAGCAGGGUCGGUGCUGCUUUGGCAGGGUGGUCAUGAAGGGCCUCUGAGCUGAGACCUGGGGGAGGAGAGGAGGUCAGACACGAAAGAAGUGAGGGAAGAGGCCUCUUGAUGGGACAGCAAGUACACAGGCCCUGAGGCAAGAACAAGCUUGGGGCCACGCACAGUGGCUCACGCCAGUAAUCCCAGCACUUUGGGAGGCUGAGGCGGACAGAUCACCUGAGGUCAGGAGUUCUAGACCAGCCUGGCCAACAUGGUGAAACCCUGUCUCUACUAAAAUUUACAAAAAUUAGCCAGGCGUGGUGGCAGACGACUUUAUCCCAGCUACUUGGGAGGCAGAGGCAGGAGAAUCAUUUGAACCCGGGAGGUGAAGGUUGCAGUGAGCCGAGAUCGAGCCAUUGCACUCAAACCUGGGGGAUAAGAGCGAGACUUCGCUUAGAAAAAAAAAAAAAGAACAAGCUUGGGAUUUUAAGAGAUGGUGAGGCAGCCACUGUGGCUGGACUAGAGUGAGCUAAGGAAAAAUGGAAGACAAGGUUGGGAAAACAUGGAUUUGGUAUACAGAGACUCAUAGGCUGAGGUGAGUGGGGACCUGCUGGUCAUUUUAUUUAUUUGUAUUUAUUACUAUGUUUUUAGAGACAGGGUCAUGCUCUGUCACCCAGGCUAAAGUGCAGAGGUGAGGUGUAAUAGCUCACAGCAACCUUGAACUCCUGGACACAAACGAUCCUCAUGAGUGGCUGGGACUAGCACAUGCCGCCACACCUGGCUUGGCUAUUUUUUUUUUUUUUUAAAGAAAUGGGGUCUCACUAUGUUGUCCAGGUUGGUCUUGAACUCCUGGCCUCAAGUGAUCCGCCUUGGCCUUCCAAAGUGCUGGAAUUUUAGGUAUGAGCCACUGCACCGGGUCAGGACAUUAUAGACCAAUUAGUAACUUGUUUAUUUGUUGAAUAAGUAAUUAUAAGGCAUCUCCUAUGAACUAGGUACUGCGAUUCUGUAGUGAACGCUACAGACAUAGUCAAUAGCUAGUCUAGGCUAGAUAGUUUCUGCAAUAUUAGCCAGAAAAAAGAAAGCCUGUUGGGGACAGGGAAAUGCCUAAAGGACUCCAGAGCAGUCACAGAUAAUGACAUUUCUGAGUAGCUGGGAUUACAGGCGCCCACCACCAUGCCCGGCUAAUUUUCGUAUUUUUAGUAGAGAUGGGGUUUCAGCAUGUUGGCCAGGCUGGUCUCCAACUCUUGACUUCAGGUGAUCCACCCACCUUGGCCUCCCAAAGUGUUGGGAUUACAGGCAUGAGCCACUGCGUCCAGCCAUGACAUUUAUUUUUUAAAACGUGACCCAUAAUGCCAUUUUCCUUUGCCAACUAGACUUUUGAUUUGUGACUAUGCCUGAGGGGACCACACAAGGAAGGGUGUUAGAAUUCGACAACUCAUAAAUGACAGAAAUUUAAAGUAAACAGCUAAAAUAAUCGUAUUAGCUCAUAAAACGGAAAAGUCUACAGGUGUUCUGAAUUAAGGUUUGGCAGGACCCAGGGGCUCACAUGAUUCAUCAAAACGUGGUCUCUCUAAGCUCUGUUUUUCUCUUUGAGUUGAGACUUACUAGACCAGCUCAGCAAUCUCAGUGGAAAGUGCAUUCCCAGUAGUUGCAGUGGAAGUCCCAGGGCAGGCUCUCAUUGGUCUGGACUGGGUCACGUGCCCAUCCCUGAACCAAUCACAUUGGCCAGUGGGGUGAAAUGCUCUGGUUGCCCAGGGCUGAAAAAUGUCCAUCUGGAUUUGCAGGGUUGUGAUCACCUCUUCCUAAGGCAUUACUACAAAAAGAAGUCAAUGGUGGAUGGGACAGGCAGCUAAAUUCUUUAGAGGCCAUAGGAGUAGCCUCACCACUGUGGUGUUGGUUUCCAGGCCCCACCAAUCUGUGUCAGUUCCCCUGGAGCCGACAGAAAAAAAACCCUCAGCCUGAGUCCAGAGAGGUAAAGUGACUCCCCCAAGGUCCCACAGGUAGUAAGGGUAGAGCAGCCCUCAGACUCAGACCAUUUCACUUCUGAAUUCUGGGGGCUGGAAAAAAAUCCUUCUCAAAACCAGAAGGUGCGCUGCAUUGGGUCUGAGAGUGUUGGGGCCACUUGUGAGAUCAGGGACUUGCAAACAAGUGCCUAUGAGGGCCAGACAGGGGAAAAUGCUACUUAAUAUUACUGAGCACUUAACUUUGCACCAGACUGUGCAGAGAGCUCUGGCAUGGGUCCUGUCAAGCAGUCCCUGCAGCUCUGAGAAGUGAGUACUCUUUGCACCAUUUGCAGAUGGGGAAACUGAGGCACAGAGGUCAUGUAAUAUGCCCAAGGUCACACAGCUGGUAGGUGGCAGAAUCAGGAUUUGAGCCAGCGUCUGACCCAAAGCCCCUGUGCUUUAACGCUCCCAUUGUGGAGAGGGAGGUGAGACAGGUGGCACGUGAGAAAUGUGUCCACUAUGAGGCAACUGCAGCAUGCCUGAGAAAGGGCCGCUGACGCUGGGGACUGGGAUGACCUGGAGACAUCAGGCCUAAAGGGCAGCUGCUACUCACAGCAGCUGGUUAAACAGGAGCCAGAAAUCUAAACUUUAAAAAUGCUGGCUCCGUGUUUAAAACGUACUGUGGGCAAAACAAAAUGAGUGCAUAGGCCAACUGCCUGCAGCCUCCCUCCCAGCUGCUGUGGGAUGGCUUGGUUUCAGGUAGGCAUGUGCUGCUGUCUGGUGGUGGCACAGGGUAGUGGCAUGCAGGGCAAACAUGGAUUUCCAGCUCAACCGGGGGAGCUGUAGUGAACUUGCAUACCCCUGUGUGCUCACUGUUCUUUAGAAGGGGCCUGGGCACAUACCUUUGGGCGCCUGCCCCCAACUGAAACUCCAUCACCCCGCCUUUUUUUUUUCCUGGAGACGGGGUCUUGCUCUGUCACCCAGGCUGGAACACAGUGGCAUGAUCUGCGCUCACUGCAGACUCAACCUCCCAGGCUCAAGCAAUCCUCCCAUUUCAGCCUCUUGAAUAGCGGGAACGACAGACAUGUGCCACCACCCCCAGCUAGUUUCUUUUUGUAUUUUUUGUAGAGAUGGGGUUUCACCAUGUUGCCCAGGCUGGUCUCGAACGCCUGAGCUCAAGCGAUCGGCCCACCUCAGCCUUCCUAAGUGUUGGGAUUACAGGCAUGAACCACCGCGCCCAGCCAACCCUCCUUUGAUAAACCAAAAAUAUUUUUCAAGCUACCCACAUAUAUAUAUGGGUAUAUAUAUAUAUAUAGCAAUAUAUAUAUUGCUAUAUAAGCAAUAGGUAAUGCUUGCAUAGGUAAAGAAUAAGAAUCACGCCGGGUACAGUGGCUCAUAUCAAAUAAUAUAAACAGGGCUAGAGUAUGGAUAAGCUGACCCUGGACAGUGGGCCAAAUCCAGCCACUUGCUUUUCUAUAGCUCAGAAGCUUUUGUGGGUUGUUUGUUUGUUUGUUUGUUUGUUUGUUUUUUAGAGACAGGGUCUUGCUCUGUUGUCCAGGCUGGAGUGCAGUGGCACAAUCACAGCUCACUGUAACCUCAGACUCCUGGGCUCAAGUGAUCCUCCCACCUCAGCCUCCUGAGUAGCUAGGACUACAGAUGGACACCACCACAUCCAGCUAAUUUUUUUUUUUUUUUAGAGAUGGGGUCUCGCUAUGUUGCCCAGGGUAGUCUCAAACUCCUGGCCUCAAGUGAUCCUCCCACCUCAACCUCCUGAAGCACUGGGAUUACAGGUGUGAGCCACCAUGUCAGCCACGAGCAUUUUUUAAAUGGCUGGGGGAGGGGGAACAAUAUUUCCUAACACAGAAAAUUCAAAUUCCAGUUUGUAAAGCUGAAUUGGCACACAGCCAUGCCCCUCAUUUACAUAUUGUCCGAGGCUGCUUUUGCACUGCAGUGGCAGAAUUGAGUCGUUGCAUCGGAGACCACGUGGUCCACACAGCCUAAAAUAUUUACGAUCUGGCCCUUUACAGAGAAAAGUUACCAACCUCUCCCUAGUCUAGAAUGAAGGGUAAAUUGCUCCCCAUUCAUGUUCCCUCAGGUACUCAGUUCCCCUCCUUAGAGGCCAUCAUUUUGACAAGACACUUGCAAUGCCUUAUGUAGGCAGAGGGGUAUGUCUGCCCCACUCCUUUUCACACAAUAUGUAGGAUAUUAUGCACACAGUUCUGCACCUUGCCUUUUUUCACUUAAUAUAUUUUGGAGAUAGUGUUAUCAUUAAUGUUCACAAACCAUUAUUAUUUUUUACAGCUGCAUAGUGUUCCACCUUCAGGAUGGAAUGGACUUGACUUUUUUUUUUUUUUUUUUUUGAGACAAAGUCUUGCUCUAUUACCUGGGCUAGAGUGCAGUGGUGCAAUCCCAGCUCACUACAGCCUCUGCCUCCUGGGCUCAAGCUAUCCUCUCUCAGCCUCCCAUCCCAAGUAGUUGGGACUACAGGUGCAUGCCACCAUGCUGAGCUAAUUUUUUUUUAUUAUUUUUAGAGACGGGGGUCUUGCUUUGUUGCCCAGACUCGUCUCAAACUCCUGUGCUCAAGCAAUCCUCCUGCCUCAGACUCCCAAACUGCUGGGAUUACAGGCUUGAACCACGAGUGUGUUUUAAAUUUUGAUAGUGCAUACCAAAUUGUCUUCCAGAGGCCAUGCCGGUUUAAGUUCACAAGUUUUCAGAGUCCCUGUUUCCUCACACCCUUGCCAACACAGCGUGUUAUCAAAUGUUUUGUUCUUUGCCAAUCUGAUAGGUGGUUUUAAUUUGCAUUCCUCUUACUGUAUUUCAUUGAUUCUAAGAUGUCACUGAUUCUAAGAUGCAUCCUGAUUUCAGAAGUUCACAUGUAAAAAUGUGGCUGGGUGUGGUAGCUCACGCCUGUAAUCCCAGCACUUUGGGCGGAUCACGAGGUCAGGAAUUCAAGACCAGCCUGGCCAACAUAGUGAAACCCCGUCUCUACCAAAAAUACAAAAGAAAUAAUUAGCUGGGUGUGGUGGCGGGUGCCUGUAAUCCCAGCUACUUGGGAGGCUGAGGCAGGAGAAUUGCUUGAACCCAGGAGGCGGAGGUUGCAGUGAACUGAGAUCGCGCCACUGAACUCCAGCCUGGGCGACACAGCGAGACUCUGUCUCAAAAAAAAAACAAAAAAAAAGUAAAAACGUAUAGCUUCAAAUCACUGAAAUACAAUAUGUUUUGUGAGAUUGGGUAUCUUACUGUGAGUUUAAAAUGCAUUUGCAUUUCCUCAUCUGUUCAUGUCCUUUUCCUAUUUUUCUUGGAAGGGAGGGUAGCAUUGGUUAAGAGUGUAGGGUUCAAAUCCCAGUUCUGCCACUUACAAGCUUGUGACUUUGGGCAAGUUACUUAACCGUUCUGUGUCUCAGUUUCCUCACCUGCAAAAUGGGAAUAAUAAUGGUACCUACCUCAUAGGAUAGGUGUGAAGAUUAAAUACAUUAUUAUAUGCAAAAUACCAUGUUCCUGGAAUAUGGCAAAUGCUCAAUAAAUAUUUGCUGUAACUGUCA
Molecule: RNA transcript, 7807 nt
Organism: Homo sapiens (human)
Lineage: Eukaryota; Metazoa; Chordata; Mammalia; Primates; Hominidae
Gene: PEDS1
Gene name: plasmanylethanolamine desaturase 1
Exons: 7
Source: RefSeq, marked reviewed